GAUGAAGAACGUAGCGAAAUGCGAUACUUGGUGUGAAUUGCAGAAUCCCGUGAACCAUCGAGUCUUUGAACGCAAGUUGCGCCCGAAGCCAUCAGGUUGAGGGCACGUCUGCCUGGGCGUCACAUAUCGUUGCCCAAUGCCUAUUGCAGUGCAAUAGGAAUUUCUAGGGCGAAUGAUGGCUUCCCGUGAGCGUUGUUGCCUCGCGGUUGGUUGAAAAUCGAGUCCUUGGUAGGGUGUGCCAUGGUAGAUGGUGGUCGGGUUAGAACGAUACCGAUCAUGUGCAUGCUCCCCAAAAUAUGGCCUCUAUGACCCACACGCGUCUUUUGACGCUCAUGACGAGACCUCAGGUCAGGCGGGGCUACCCGCUGAAUUUAAGCAUAUCAAUAAGCGGAGGA
Molecule: unclassified non-coding RNA, 395 nt
Filed under: soil metagenome
Description: partial contains 5.8S ribosomal RNA, internal transcribed spacer 2, and large subunit ribosomal RNA
Rfam family: 5.8S ribosomal RNA (bases 1-122)
Source: RNAcentral